Pteropus vampyrus (large flying fox) is the source of this 102-nucleotide small nuclear RNA. Lineage: Eukaryota; Metazoa; Chordata; Mammalia; Chiroptera; Pteropodidae. The record is from Ensembl.
GUGCCUGCUGCAGCAGCACAUAUACUAAAAUUGGAAUGAUACAGAGAAGAUUAGCCCCUGCACAACGAUGAUACGCAAAUUCGCGAAGCAUUCCAUAUUUUU